UACGUAGGGCGCAAGCGUUGUCCGGAAUUAUUGGGCGUAAAGAGCUCGUAGGCGGUUUGUCGCGUCUGCUGUGAAAACCUGAGGCUCAACCUCGGGCUUGCAGUGGGUACGGGCAGACUAGAGUGCGGUAGGGGUGACUGGAAUUCCUGGUGUAGCGGUGGAAUGCGCAGAUAUCAGGAGGAACACCCGUGGCGAAGGCGGCUCACUGGGCUGACCUUGACGCUGAGGCGCGAAGGCGUGGGGAGCGAACGGG
RNAcentral lists this ribosomal RNA (253 nucleotides) under uncultured bacterium. Its description in RNAcentral is "partial 16S ribosomal RNA". It matches the Rfam family "Bacterial small subunit ribosomal RNA", at positions 524 to 776 of the family's 1533-position model. The record is from RNAcentral.